Molecule: ribosomal RNA, 799 nt
Filed under: uncultured bacterium
Lineage: Bacteria
Description: bacterial SSU rRNA
Rfam family: Bacterial small subunit ribosomal RNA
Source: RNAcentral
GAGUUUGAUUCCUGGCUCCGGAUGAACUCUGGCGGCGUGCCUAAUACAUGCAAGUCGAGCGAAUGGAUUAAGAGCUUGCUCUUAUGAAGUUAGCGGCGGACGGGUGAGUAACACGUGGGUAACCUGCCCAUAAGACUGGGAUAACUCCGGGAAACCGGGGCUAAUACCGGAUAAUAUUUUGAACUGCAUGGUUCGAAAUUGAAAGGCGGCUUCGGCUGUCACUUAUGGAUGGACCCGCGUCGCAUUAGCUAGUUGGUGAGGUAACGGCUCACCAAGGCAACGAUGCGUAGCCGACCUGAGAGGGUGAUCGGCCACACUGGGACUGAGACACGGCCCAGACUCCUACGGGAGGCAGCAGUAGGGAAUCUUCCGCAAUGGACGAAAGUCUGACGGAGCAACGCCGCGUGAGUGAUGAAGGCUUUCGGGUCGUAAAACUCUGUUGUUAGGGAAGAACAAGUGCUAGUUGAAUAAGCUGGCACCUUGACGGUACCUAACCAGAAAGCCACGGCUAANUACGUGCCAGCAGCCGCGGUAAUACGUAGGUGGCAAGCGUUAUCCGGAAUUAUUGGGCGUAAAGCGCGCGCAGGUGGUUUCUUAAGUCUGAUGUGAAAGCCCACGGCUCAACCGUGGAGGGUCAUUGGAAACUGGGAGACUUGAGUGCAGAAGAGGAAAGUGGAAUUCCAUGUGUAGCGGUGACAUGCGUAGAGAUAUGGAGGCACACCAGUGGCGAAGGCGACUUGAUGGGCUGUAACUGACACUGAGGCGCGAAAGCGUGGGGAGCAAACAGGAUGAGAACCCC